UACGUAGGGUGCGAGCGUUAAUCGGAAUUACUGGGCGUAAAGCGUGCGCAGGCGGUUUUGUAAGACAGGGGUGAAAUCCCCGGGCUUAACCUGGGAACUGCGCUUGUGACUGCAAGACUCGAGUACGGCAGAGGGGGGUAGAAUUCCACGUGUAGCAGUGAAAUGCGUAGAGAUGUGGAGGAAUACCGAUGGCGAAGGCAGCCCCCUGGGUCGAUACUGACGCUCAUGCACGAAAGCGUGGGGAGCAAACAGG
This 253-nucleotide ribosomal RNA is filed under the name uncultured bacterium. RNAcentral's name for it is "partial 16S ribosomal RNA". It matches the Rfam family "Bacterial small subunit ribosomal RNA", at positions 524 to 776 of the family's 1533-position model. The record is from RNAcentral.